UGGCUCAGUCAGUAGAGUAUGGCGCUUUCAAUGCCAGGGAUGUGGGUUUGAUUCCCAC
Non-coding RNA from Salmo salar (Atlantic salmon), 58 nucleotides. NCBI's taxonomy places the organism in Eukaryota, Metazoa, Chordata, Actinopteri, Salmoniformes, Salmonidae. The record is from Rfam.